This 238-nucleotide ribosomal RNA is filed under the name uncultured bacterium. RNAcentral's name for it is "partial 16S ribosomal RNA". It matches the Rfam family "Bacterial small subunit ribosomal RNA", at positions 96 to 334 of the family's 1533-position model. The record is from RNAcentral.
CGGCGGACGGGUGAGUAACGCGUGGGUAACCUGCCUCAUACAGGGGGAUAACAGUUAGAAAUGGCUGCUAAUACCGCAUAAGACCACAGCACCGCAUGGUGCGGGGGUAAAAACUCCGGUGGUAUGAGAUGGACCCGCGUCUGAUUAGCUGGUUGGUAAGGUAACGGCUUACCAAGGCGACGAUCAGUAGCCGACCUGAGAGGGUGACCGGCCACAUUGGGACUGAGACACGGCCCAA